UACGUAGGGUGCGAGCGUUAAUCGGAAUUACUGGGCGUAAAGCGUGCGCAGGCGGCCGAGCAAGUCGAGUGUGAAAGCCCCGAGCUUAACUUGGGAACUGCGCUCGAAACUACUUGGCUAGAGUGUGGCAGAGGGAGGUGGAAUUCCACGUGUAGCGGUGAAAUGCGUAGAGAUGUGGAGGAACACCGAUGGCGAAGGCAGCCUCCUGGGCCAACACUGACGCUCAUGCACGAAAGCGUGGGGAGCAAACAGG
This 253-nucleotide ribosomal RNA is filed under the name uncultured bacterium. RNAcentral describes it as "partial 16S ribosomal RNA". It matches the Rfam family "Bacterial small subunit ribosomal RNA", at positions 524 to 776 of the family's 1533-position model. The record is from RNAcentral.